RNAcentral lists this ribosomal RNA (256 nucleotides) under uncultured bacterium. Its description in RNAcentral is "partial 16S ribosomal RNA". It matches the Rfam family "Bacterial small subunit ribosomal RNA", at positions 524 to 776 of the family's 1533-position model. The record is from RNAcentral.
UACGUAGGGCGCGAGCGUUUGUCCGGAAUUAUUGGGCGUAAAGAGCUCGUAGGCGGUCUGUCGCGUCGGCUGUGAAAACUCGGGGCUCAACCCCGAGCCUGCAGUCGAUACGGGCAGACUAGAGUGCUGUAGGGGAGACUGGGAAUUCCUGGUGUAGCGGUGAAAUGCGCAGAUAUCAGGAGGAACACCGGUGGCGAAGGCGGGUCUCUGGGCAGUAACUGACGCUGGAGGAGCGAAAGCGUGGGGAGCGAACAGG